RNAcentral lists this ribosomal RNA (320 nucleotides) under uncultured eukaryote. RNAcentral describes it as "partial 18S ribosomal RNA". It matches the Rfam family "Eukaryotic small subunit ribosomal RNA", at positions 1470 to 1796 of the family's 1831-position model. The record is from RNAcentral.
CCCUUAGAUGUUCUGGGCUGCACGCGUGUUACAAUCGGGAGUACAACAAGAUUGCAAAUCCUAGUGGAUGAGUGGUUCUUCGAAAUUUUCUGAAGACUGGGAUAGUUGAUUGAAAUUAUUCAACUCAAACGAGGAAUUCCUUGUAAUUGUAAUUCAUUAUAUUGUAAUGAAUACGUCCCUGCCCUUUGUACACACCGCCCGUCGCUCCUACCGAUCGAAGAGUUAGGUGAAUUGUUUUGAUCGAUAAGAUUUGACUAUGGUCAACUCUCGUUGUGAAAUUCUGUGAAUCUGACUGUUUAGAGGAAGGAAAAGUCGUAACA